UUUAUGGAGAGUUUGAUCCUGGCUCAGGAUGAACGCUGGCGGCGUGCCUAAUACAUGCAAGUCGAGCGAACGGACGAGAAGCUUGCUUCUCUGAUGUUAGCGGCGGACGGGUGAGUAACACGUGGAUAACCUACCUAUAAGACUGGGAUAACUUCGGGAAACCGGAGCUAAUACCGGAUAAUAUUUUGAACCGCAUGGUUCAAAAGUAAAAGACGGUCUUGCUGUCACUUAUAGAUGGAUCCGCGCUGCAUUAGCUAGUUGGUAAGGUAACGGCUUACCAAGGCAACGAUGCAUAGCCGACCUGAGAGGAUGAUCGGCCACACUGGAACUGAGACACGGUCCAGACUCCUACGGGAGGCAGCAGUAGGGAAUCUUCCGCAAUGGGCGAAAGCCUGACGGAGCAACGCCGCGUGAGUGAUGAAGGUCUUCGGAUCGUAAAACUCUGUUAUUAGGGAAGAACAUAUGUGUAAGUAACUGUGCACAUCUUGACGGUACCUAAUCAGAAAGCCACGGCUAACUACGUGCCAGCAGCCGCGGUAAUACGUAGGUGGCAAGCGUUAUCCGGAAUUAUUGGGCGUAAAGCGCGCGUAGGCGGUUUUUUAAGUCUGAUGUGAAAGCCCACGGCUCAACCGUGGAGGGUCAUUGGAAACUGGAAAACUUGAGUGCAGAAGAGGAAAGUGGAAUUCCAUGUGUAGCGGUGAAAUGCGCAGAGAUAUGGAGGAACACCAGUGGCGAAGGCGACUUUCUGGUCUGUAACUGACGCUGAUGUGCGAAAGCGUGGGGAUCAAACAGGAUUAGAUACCCUGGUAGUCCACGCCGUAAACGAUGAGUGCUAAGUGUUAGGGGGUUUCCGCCCCUUAGUGCUGCAGCUAACGCAUUAAGCACUCCGCCUGGGGAGUACGACCGCAAGGUUGAAACUCAAAGGAAUUGACGGGGACCCGCACAAGCGGUGGAGCAUGUGGUUUAAUUCGAAGCAACGCGAAGAACCUUACCAAAUCUUGACAUCCUUUGACAACUCUAGAGAUAGAGCCUUCCCCUUCGGGGGACAAAGUGACAGGUGGUGCAUGGUUGUCGUCAGCUCGUGUCGUGAGAUGUUGGGUUAAGUCCCGCAACGAGCGCAACCCUUAAGCUUAGUUGCCAUCAUUAAGUUGGGCACUCUAAGUUGACUGCCGGUGACAAACCGGAGGAAGGUGGGGAUGACGUCAAAUCAUCAUGCCCCUUAUGAUUUGGGCUACACACGUGCUACAAUGGACAAUACAAAGGGCAGCGAAACCGCGAGGUCAAGCAAAUCCCAUAAAGUUGUUCUCAGUUCGGAUUGUAGUCUGCAACUCGACUACAUGAAGCUGGAAUCGCUAGUAAUCGUAGAUCAGCAUGCUACGGUGAAUACGUUCCCGGGUCUUGUACACACCGCCCGUCACACCACGAGAGUUUGUAACACCCGAAGCCGGUGGAGUAACCUUUUAGGAGCUAGCCGUCGAAGGUGGGACAAAUGAUUGGGGUGAAGUCGUAACAAGGUAGCCGUAUCGGAAGGUGCGGCUGGAUCACCUCCUUUCU
RNAcentral lists this ribosomal RNA (1554 nucleotides) under Staphylococcus aureus. Its description in RNAcentral is "16S ribosomal RNA". It matches the Rfam family "Bacterial small subunit ribosomal RNA". Lineage: Bacteria; Bacillati; Bacillota; Bacilli; Caryophanales; Staphylococcaceae. The record is from RNAcentral.